UCAGAAGCCUCUGUAUUUGUCUUGAUGGUAUGAUCUGAUUGUUCUCCGCCUCACUAUGUAGUAUCUUGAUGAAAUAUGUCAAUGUGAUGAUUACAAUUAGCGUGGGACCUUUUUUUACUAUUUCUUUAUCAUAUUAAACAAAUGCGUCAGUGAAACCUGUGUAAGAAAAUGAGCAUUCCGAGAAUGAGCCCCGUUCUGUUGAUGCGUACAGUAGUUGCCUACUUGCAUUUCUAUUACAUGGACAAGUUCGACUUGCGAUCCACCAGGCUCCGUAUAAUAGGCUUUUACAUCUUAGCCAUCAACGGUGGAGCGCAAGGCCGAUGGGAGCGAUAACACUGGAGCACUUUCUGCUCUGCGUCCGGGGACUUUCCCCUGGGCGAUGGUGGAGGAACGGCGUCCUCAGCGAGUAGCCCAGAUAGCAAGCCUUCUGAAUGCCCGGAUUCAGAAGGCGGGUGACUUUUUAUAUAGCGAGGAGUAACCAUGUAGUGUUUCAGAAAUGGUUUUCACGUCGGUUGCACGAUUUUGUUCUAUAUUUUUUUAGUUUAAAACAACCACAUGCGUAUCGUCGUGUAUAGCUAUUCAAUAGCAUUUCUUAAAGCAUACAUAGGAUUAUCUUCAUAGCGGAAAAUCGAGGAGAGGCUCAUGGGAGUUCCGUUGCAUCGAAGAAACGCUGAAUCUGCUUGGUAUAGAGGGCUAUACCCCCACCUACUGUCCAGGGGUGUGAGCGUCUAUUUAUGGGUUAUCAUUCGGUAGGCCGUUCACAAAGGUGAGAAAUGUAAAAAGCUCACAGAACAACACCGUAAAAAGUGGAUUUUAAACCUAUGUCUGCAUUCGGGAGGAGCAGUCUGUUUAUUCCCGUGUCUGCAGCGACCACUUCAUCAGAGGCUAUGCAGAUGCCGGAUGCCAGAGUGAGCUAACGAUGGAUGACAUCGAGAAGAUGGAGGAUGUUCUGAGACAGAACUCAACAGAGCUGGGAGAUCUUCGGACCAAGGCACUGGACACACAGUUCAACCAGGAGUCCUUGGAAAAAAAUGAAGAAAAGACUAAGGGCUCCCCAACUUCUUAGUUUUAAUUCAGAUUUUUGAGCUGUGCGAGCAGCGAGCCCUACAUCACCUGUGGCCCUAUGUCUGUGUUGUCUAAAUUUGAACAGUUGGUUUUAGUUUUGCUGAGGCUGAGACUAAAAUCUCCCGCUGAAAGAUUUAGCUUUCAGGUUCAAGAUCUCUCUGCCCACUGCUUCUAGAGUUUGGCAUAAAAUAAUUGACAUACUUCAUGAAAGGUUAGAAUUUCAAAUUGAGUGGCCAAAGCGACAGGUACUUCAAGCUACAAUGCCAAUGGGAUUCAGACAGUCAUUUGGACGCAGAGUUGCUGUGAUAAUGGACUGUUUCAGAGGCCCUCUAAUUUACUUGCCCAAGCACAGACAUGGUCGAACUACAAGCAUCACCAUACUGUAACAUUUCUGAUUGGUGUUGCACCCCAAGGCUAUGUCCCUUACAUACCUUGUGCCUGGGGAGGGAGAGUCAUAGAAUAGAGAGUGAGUGGCCUCCUUAAAAACCUGUUACCCGGGGAUGUUGUCCUAGCAGGCCGUGGGUUUAAUAUUGGAGAUAGUGAAUUUGCGUAUUCAUGUUGAGUGAGUCAUAGGUUUAGUCAGAAGAAAAUAUCAGAUUCUGCAAAGCAGGGCUAUGCCCAGAGAACAUGGCAGCAAAAUCAGGUGAGGCACUAGCAUUGAUUGACACGAUUGGGGUUAUUUGCUGUGUCUUGUCUAAUCUUUCAGAGUCUGUCGUCCCAUUGGAGUAAGGAGGAGGGGAAGGGAAGGAGGCGAAGAGAGGAGGCAGGGGGAUAGGGAUAAUCAAUCAGUCCAGUACCUGAGCCCUAAAACAUGUUGGUCUGGGACACCUGCUUGGCUCACAGGAGGGGGGGGAGGGGAGGAGUAUACUAUACAGUAGUAGUAGUUUCAUCUGACACACUGAUCAGUCUGUAAAUAUGUUAUUCUCUUAAUAUUUUUCUCCACAAGUCGAAUUGUACUGGCAAUAUGUAUUUUAUAUAAUGAAAUGGAUUCCAAUGUAUUAUUGCACAGAUUGUAUUUAUUAUAACAAUUGUUAAAACAUGUAAUCUUGUAGAUAAACCAUGUAUUAUUCUG
Molecule: long non-coding RNA, 2137 nt
Organism: Gadus macrocephalus (Pacific cod)
Lineage: Eukaryota; Metazoa; Chordata; Actinopteri; Gadiformes; Gadidae
Exons: 2
Source: RefSeq, a predicted model, not a curated record